AUACAGAGGGUGCAAGCGUUAAUCGGAUUUACUGGGCGUAAAGCGCGCGUAGGUGGCUAAUUAAGUCAAAUGUGAAAUCCCCGAGCUUAACUUGGGAAUUGCAUUCGAUACUGGUUAGCUAGAGUAUGGGAGAGGAUGGUAGAAUUCCAGGUGUAGCGGUGAAAGGCGUAGAGAUCUGGAGGAAUAACGAUGGCGAAGGCAGCCAUCUGGCCUAAUACUGACACUGAGGUGCGAAAGCAUGGGGAGCAAACAGGAUUAGAUACCCUGGUAGUCCAUGCCGUAAACGAUGUCUACUAGCCGUUGGGGCCCUUGAGGCUUUAGUGGCGCAGCUAACGCGAUAAGUAGACCGCCUGGGGAGUACGGUCGCAAGACUAAAACUCAAAUGAAUUGACGGGG
Molecule: ribosomal RNA, 396 nt
Filed under: uncultured bacterium
Lineage: Bacteria
Description: partial 16S ribosomal RNA
Rfam family: Bacterial small subunit ribosomal RNA
Source: RNAcentral